This is a non-coding RNA of Salmo salar (Atlantic salmon), 54 nucleotides long. Lineage: Eukaryota; Metazoa; Chordata; Actinopteri; Salmoniformes; Salmonidae. The record is from Rfam.
AUUUGCACUGACUGUAUGUCACUCUGGAUAAGAGUGUCUGCUAAAUAACCAAAA